This 467-nucleotide ribosomal RNA is filed under the name uncultured bacterium. Its description in RNAcentral is "partial 16S ribosomal RNA". It matches the Rfam family "Bacterial small subunit ribosomal RNA", at positions 28 to 507 of the family's 1533-position model. The record is from RNAcentral.
GAUGAACGCUGGCGGCGCGCCUAACACACGUAAGUCGAACGAUUAAAGCACCUUCGGGUGUGUAUAAAGUGGCGAACGGCUGAGUAACACGUGGGCAACCUGCCCCUUUCAUUGGGAUAGCCACGGGAAACCGUGGAUAAUACCGAAUACUUCGAGACUUCCGCAUGGAAGACUCGAGAAAGCUCCGGCGGAGAGGGAUGGGCCCGCGGCCUGUUAGCUUGUUGGUGGGGUAACGGCCUACCAAGGCAAUGAUGGGUAGCUGGGUUGAGAGACCGACCAGCCAGAUUGGGACUAGUACACGGCCCUGACUCCUACGGGAGGCAGCAGUGUGGAAUCUUGCACAAUGGGCGAAAGCCUGAUGCAGCGACUCCGCGUGCGGGAUGAAGGCCUUCGGGUUGUGAACCGCUUUCAGCAGGGACGAGGCGAAAGUGACGGUACCUGCAGAAGAGGCCCCGGCUAACUACGUG